This 369-nucleotide ribosomal RNA is filed under the name uncultured Glomeromycotina. RNAcentral describes it as "LSU rRNA". The record is from RNAcentral. Lineage: Eukaryota; Fungi; Glomeromycota.
UUGAAAGGGAAACGAUUGAAGUCAGUCGUGCUGGCGCGAAAUCAACCUUCUCGUCUUGAGAUCACAUGGCGUGGCGAGCCUCAAAACCGUCACGAAGCGUGAACUCUUGGUGAAAUGGAGCACUUUCGUGUCCGCUGGUUAACAUCAAUUUCGAACGUCAUAAAAAGGCUGGAGGGAUGUGGCUCCUUCGGGAGUGUUAUAACCUUUAGCGGAAUGUGGUGUUCGGGAUUGAGGAUUGCAACGAAUACCUUUAGGGCUGUUCCACCUGGCUUCUCUUUGGUAUCCUGGUGAUGACAGCUUGCUGACGUCGUUAGGAUUCGCCUUUGAACAGGCUAGAGUGUGAGCAAAUUCGUUAAGGAUGUUGACGUA